AGGAGAGAAAUCAUGUGAGCUUGAGAAGGAAUCAGAUUCUGCAUAUAUUUCCAAGUUAACAUGAACAAGAUUUUCUGAAAGACUGCUAUGGAGUCUGAGAAAAAAUGUCAAAGGUAGUGCCAAAAUUGUCACUUAAAGAACUGCAGGAAUGGAGUUGGCAUUUACAGAAUUUGGAAGAGAAGCAGGUUUAGUGAUAAAGACCAGAAGCACAGAGCUAAGCAUAUUAAAUGUGAGUUGUCUAUUAGGCAUUCAAGAAGACAUAUAGAGUGGGCAGUGGCUAUAUGAGGCUAGAGUUCUGGGAAGGCUGGGCUGAUGACAGAAAUGUAUUAGUCAUUAACAUUUAUGUGUGUGUGUACACAUAUGCACAUGAACACUGGAUAUGCGAAUGCACAGAUUGAGGACAUGAAGAGGAAAGAACUGACAGAGGAGGUGAAGAAAGGUGAUCAGGAAGAGCCAUCAAAGUGUUAUCCUGGAAUUCAAGUGAAGACAGUGUUUCAAAGUGGAAAUGAACAGUGUCCUGUAACCCUCAGAGUGAGACUAGAGUCAGAAUGCAGGCUUUUCUCAUUUGAAAUCUUUCUACUAUUUCUUUUAACUCAGCAAGGUAAGUCCAGGUCCUUACCUCCACCUAAAAGUUCUGCCAUCAAGGAACAUCUGCUCAUUAUCUUCUGUUCACACAUCAAAUGACUUCAAUGUGAUCCCUGGAUGUUCUCCAAAGAGCUGAAGGGAAAUAAAUAUUCUUUCUUUAUCACCAAAUACUUCAACUGCAGAGUGAUUGUGCUACCAAGGCCUGAAACUUCGGAAAAACCUGCAUAACACAAAAUAUAAAAUAUGCCACAGAGAGGAUCCAGAGAGCCCAUCUCCGGUCAGUUAUCUGUAUUUGUAUGUCAACUACAGCAUCAAAAAGCAUAGGCAUGGAUACUAAGGACCCCCUCUGUACACCAACGCCAGUCCAAAGGACAGUGUGUCACUGUGAACUGGAAAUUCAUCUCUCUUCUUCAAUUUUUUUCUACCUACUUUAUGCUUUAUCUCUAAGUUGAGGCUGUUUAUGGCCUCAUCCUCAAUUACCUUGUCCCUCAUUACUCCCAGUUAAUGGAGAUUAAGCUUUGUAUCAUGACUUCCUAACUAAAAUUGAAAUCACAAGACAUCACAUAAAUAAAGUUACAAAUGGAUUAGAUAAA
Molecule: long non-coding RNA, 1178 nt
Organism: Homo sapiens (human)
Lineage: Eukaryota; Metazoa; Chordata; Mammalia; Primates; Hominidae
Product: long intergenic non-protein coding RNA 2790
Source: Ensembl